GCCGGGCGACGGUUGUCCCGGUUUAAGCAUGUAGGCUGGUUAUCCAGGCAAAUCCGGAUAAUCAAGGCUGAGGUGUGAUGACGAGGCACUACGGUGCUGAAGUAACAAAUGCCCUGCUUCCAGGAAAAGCCUCUAAGCAUCAGGUAACAUCAAACUACGUACCCCAAACCGACACAGGUGGUCAGGUAGAGAAUACCAAGGCGCUUGAGAGAACUCGGGUGAAGGAACUAGGCAAAAUGGUGCCGUAACUUCGGGAGAAGGCACGCUGGUGUGUAGGUGAAGUCCCUGCGGAUGGAGCUGAGACCAGUCGAAGAUACCAGCUGGCUGCAACUGUUUAUUAAAAACACAGCACUGUGCAAACACGAAAGUGGACGUAUACGGUGUGACGCCUGCCCGUGCCGGAAGGUUAAUUGAUGGGGUUAUCC
RNAcentral lists this ribosomal RNA (425 nucleotides) under Klebsiella pneumoniae. RNAcentral's name for it is "bacterial LSU rRNA". It matches the Rfam family "Bacterial large subunit ribosomal RNA", at positions 1490 to 1895 of the family's 2925-position model. The record is from RNAcentral. Lineage: Bacteria; Pseudomonadati; Pseudomonadota; Gammaproteobacteria; Enterobacterales; Enterobacteriaceae.